Molecule: microRNA precursor, 93 nt
Filed under: Nannospalax galili (Upper Galilee mountains blind mole rat)
Lineage: Eukaryota; Metazoa; Chordata; Mammalia; Rodentia; Spalacidae
Description: microRNA 339 (ENSNGAG00000008933.1)
Rfam family: mir-339 microRNA precursor family
Source: RNAcentral
AGGGGACAGCCACCCUCCCUGUCCUCCAGGAGCUCACGUACUCCUGCCUGUGAGCACCUCGACGACAGAGCCGGUGUCCGUCCCUGCACUGCC